AGGGCAUACGGUGGAUGCCUAGGCGCCAAGAGCCGAAGAAGGACGCGGUAAGCUGCGAAAAGCCACGGGGAACUGCAAGCAAGUAUUGAUCCGUGGAUAUCCGAAUGGGGAAACCCGGCCAUCGUCAUGGAUGGUCACCCGCAAGGGAGGGAACCUGGGGAACUGAAACAUCUAAGUACCCGGAGGAAGAGAAAUCAAACGAGAUGCCCACAGUAGCGGCGAGCGAAGAGGGCAGAGCCCAAACCGAGAAGCUCCGGCUUUUCGGGGUUGAGGACCGGCAGAAUCGAAGUCAGGCCUAGUUGAAUUACCUGGAAAGGUAAGCGAGAGAGGGUAAAAGCCCCGUAGACGAAAGGCAGAGCAGAGAGGCCGAGAUCCAGAGUACCACGAAGCACGAGGAAUUUUGUGGGAAGCAGGGGGGACCACCCUCCAAGGCUAAAAACUACUUGGCGACCGAUAGCGCAUAGUACCGUGAGGGAAAGGUGAAAAGAACCCCGGGAGGGGAGUGAAAUAGUACCUGAAACCGUAUGUCUACAAGCAGUCGAAGCGAAAGCGACGGCGUGCCUAUUGAAGAAUGAACCAACGAGUUAUCUGCACUAGCGAGGUUAAGUGGAAGACACGGAGCCGCAGCGAAAGCGAGUCUUAAGAGGGCGCUAGUUAGUGUAGGUAGACCCGAAACCGCAGUGAUCUACCCAUGUCCAGGUUGAAGCGCAGGUAAAAUUGCGUGGAGGACCGAACCGGUGAGCGUUGAAAAGCUUUCGGAUGAGAUGUGGGUAGGGGUGAAAUUCCAAUCGAACGCGGAGAUAGCUGGUUCUCCCCGAAAUAGCUUUAGGGCUAGCCUGAGGUAGUAAGUAUAGGCGGUAGAGCACUGAUCGGGCUAGGGGCCGUAAAGGUUACCGAACCCUGUCAAACUCCGAAUGGAUAUACUGUAGAGCCUUGGAGUCAGACUACGAGUGAUAAGAUCCGUGGUCAAAAGGGAAACAGCCCAGACCACCAGCUAAGGUCCCCAAUGUCGUACUAAGUGGAAAAGGAUGUGGGGUUUCAUAAACAACCAGGAUGUUGGCUCAGAAGCAGCCACCAUUUAAAGAGUGCGUAAUAGCUCACUGGUCGAGAGACCCUGCGCCGAAGAUUCCCGGGGCUAAAGUACGAAACCGAAGCUGUGGCUGUAUACGUAAAGUAUACGGGGUAGGGGAGCGUUCCCAUAGGGUAGAAGUCGAACUGGAAGGUUCGGUGGACUUGUGGGAAGUGAGAAUGUUGGUAUGAGUAGCGAAAAGAAAGGUGAGAAUCCUUUCCACCGAAAGCAUAAGGAUUCCUGAGCAACGAUCGUCGUCUCAGGGUAAGUCGGGACCUAAUCCGAGGCAGAGAGCGUAGGAGAUGGACAACUGGUUGAUAUUCCAGUACCGGUAGUAAUUGUUUGAGCAAUGGAGUGACACAGAAGGGCAGGCAAGCAUGCGAAUGGAAGAGCAUGUGUAAGCGUGUAGGGUGGUGCAUAGGCAAAUCCGUGCACUGAAAGCCUGAGGCGUGAUGCGGAGUGAGCAGAGAUGCGAGCGAAGUUGUUGACCCCACACUGUCGAGAAAAGCUUCUAGUGAGAGAGCUACCGCCCGUACCGUAAACCGACACAGGUAUGCGGGGAGAGAAUCCUAAGGUGCGCGGGAGAACCCUCGUUAAGGAACUCGGCAAAAUGUACCCGUAACUUCGGGAUAAGGGUAGCCACUGUUGUGAAGUCCCAUGCGGAUGGAGCAUAGAGUGGUCGCAGAGAAGAGGCCCAAGCGACUGUUUACCAUAAACACAGGUGCCUGCUAAAGCGAAAGCUGACGUAUAGGUGCUGACACCUGCCCAGUGCCGGAAGGUUAAGGAAGGAUGUUCGGAUUAGUCCAAAGCAUUCGACUGAAGCCCCGGUGAACGGCGGCCGUAACUAUAACGGUCCUAAGGUAGCGAAAUUCCUUGUCGGGUAAGUUCCGACCCGCACGAAAGGUGUAACGACUUGCGCACUGUCUCAACGAGGGACCCGGUGAAAUUGAAGUACCUGUGAAGAUGCAGGUUACCCGCGACUGGACAGAAAGACCCCAUGGAGCUUUACUGCAACCUAAGAUUGAACUUAGUUAAUGAAUGUACAGGAUAGGUGGGAGACUUAGAAUCUAGGGCGCCAGUCUUAGAGGAGUCGUUGUUGGGAUACCACCCUUUGAUUAAUUGAUUUCUAACAGGCCGAUUAACAACCGGCUGGACAGUCUUAG
This 2232-nucleotide ribosomal RNA is filed under the name metagenome. Its description in RNAcentral is "bacterial LSU rRNA". It matches the Rfam family "Bacterial large subunit ribosomal RNA", at positions 14 to 2260 of the family's 2925-position model. The record is from RNAcentral.